This is a long non-coding RNA of Zophobas morio, 641 nucleotides long. RefSeq lists it as uncharacterized. NCBI's taxonomy places the organism in Eukaryota, Metazoa, Arthropoda, Insecta, Coleoptera, Tenebrionidae. The record is from RefSeq and is a predicted model, not a curated record. The transcript is spliced from 3 exons.
UUUCCAGCGAUAGAUUGGAAAAUUUUGAAUUCACAAUCGCCAACCGGAGAAUCCAAAAUAUACUAACAUUAUACGCUUAAAGCAGUUAAAGAGUUGUAGUUUAAGUUGGCAACCAACGUUCCUUUUCCCGCGCAACGAAUUUCCUACGCCUCUAUGCCUGCGCCAGUCGGCCGGUUUCGUUUAACCUGUGUUUUGGUCGAUCAGCUAAUUGACGUUAAUUUAAAAUUUUGGUUCAAAAAGUUAAAAAGUGUGUUUUUUGCGUUUAGUGUUUGUGUUUUUUUACUUGUUUUGAUUUGUUAGGUUAAGUUGUUUGUGUCAAAAAACGUUUCAUAUGGACCCCAUGGAAGACAUUACGAAGAAAAUUCAUAAUUACGCAAGACCCUCUUCAACCCCGUGCAGUAUGACUGUUGUUGACAACAUCGUGGCACAGAAAAUGAAUGCCAAUGCGUAUUCAUUUUUCAAGAAGGAAAAUUUUAAUUUAAGAUGCCCUACAGAGGUUGUUACUUCAAUAUAAAGUAUGUAAUGUUAUUCGAAGUGUAUGUUCCAGUAUAGAUAAUAUUGAAUGUUGGAAAUAAAUUGUGUUAUUAUUAAAAGUAAUUUUACCUAGUUCAACAUUAUUUGCAAAUCUCCUUAUAUUUCAA